GGAUGGCUGUGCUAGCCCGCUGGCUUUCGGGUCGGUGAGCGCCGGUACGAGUCAUUCAUCUUUGUAGGGAGCCUGGUCUGCCCUUUCCUGGGUGGGCUUGCGCGAACUACAUCAUUUACUUUGAAAAAAUUAGAGUGUUUAAAGCAGGCUUACGCUAUGAAUACAUUAGCAUGGAAUAAUAAUAUAGGACUUCGGUUCUAUUUUGUUGGUUUCAGGGACUGAAGUA
RNAcentral lists this ribosomal RNA (226 nucleotides) under uncultured fungus. RNAcentral's name for it is "partial small subunit ribosomal RNA". The stretch from base 98 to 226 matches the Rfam family "Eukaryotic small subunit ribosomal RNA", at positions 734 to 864 of the family's 1831-position model. Lineage: Eukaryota; Fungi. The record is from RNAcentral.